UUUGCUUUUUGAACGCUCGCGUGUGUCGGAGCACACCUCGUUUCCGGGUUAAGGCAGAGGCAUCUUUGACGCAAGCAGGUAGCGUGAGCUGGACCGCCGCCCGUCUCUCACCUGUAAUUACACCUGGUGGCGGAUCCGCCGGCAGUUCUGAUGUUGAGGUGAAGAGUUGAAACCUUAAUCACUGUUUUGGUUGAGCUGCAUGGUGUGUCUGUGGAGGAAGGCUUCUUGUCUGCAAACAGCUUGAAGAAGAAACUCCGUUACAGAAAACUUCUGGUUCUGGUUUCCAGGUUCUGGAGCAGCUAAACGAGCCCACAUCAUCAUUCCUCCACCACCGUGCUGGACAGGUUAAAGGCAGGCUAACCGACAGGCUCUGAGCGGAACGUCAGACUCUCAGCUCUGAAUCUGCUGAGACUCUGACAUGUUUUCCUCUUGAGAAUAAUCUUCCUCUCUGCAGACUUCAGAUGGUCUGGAGAUGACCUUUGAACCCUUCCCAGGUUGAUGGGCAGCAACAUUUGUUUCUCUGAGGUGCAGCCAAUCAGAGCAGCUCUGCUGAAAACACACAAGGCCGGGGGUCCAGACUGCAGAACCGGGUCAAAGCUCCGAACAGGAAUGCCGCCGCGGCCCUUUGACUAGGACACAGACCUCAACAUGAACCUGCCGCCAAACACAACUGACUCCAGCUCCACUCAGAAGGAAGUUCUACACACAGAUCCCUCAUCCUGCUCCGAGUCCCUCGGCUGCCUUGUGGUAACUCCAGACUGACCCGUUUAUUGAGGAGAGGCUCUCAUACAGCUGCUCUGUCAAACAGGCCUGAUUGGUGGAUUUCUGCAGCGAUGGUUGAGAUUCUCCUCUGGUGCUCUGACAGAUUGGCCCUGGGGGUCAGCAGGCUCCAAACGUCCUCCAUUGACCAGUGAUGGAGGCCGCUGAGCUCACUGGACCUCAGAACAGCAGAAAUGUUUCUGGAUCCGUCCACAGGAGUUUCACUUCAUAAUGAACCAAAGUCCCUGAACUGUCAGUCAGUGUCACCCCACCCACUCUGAAGUCCAACCGGGCUGAAUAAGUGAAAGCACCUGUGUGAGAGAAACUCCAACCCAGAUUCAUGUAGAGACAACUGAACACAUGCAUGCAGACGGAGCGGUAAGGCAACUGGAACUGGUGAGAAGGGUUUCAACGUGCCGCCGGCUGGGUGUGGCGCCUCAACAGAGUUCAUGAAUUAAAUGAACUCUUGAACUGUAGUCUGGAAUGUGGCAGGCAGAAAGUCAGCCAGACAAACCAAACGGGAACAUUCAUGCACCCCUCGCCGUCUGAACUCUCACGUCUGAUCUGGCUGCUGUUUUAAAGACCCUCCAUGUCGGCGUCAGACUGAACUGAGCCCGUUCACAUCAGAAACUGGACGAAAGGUCAAAGUUCAGCAUUUUCACUCUAAUAUAUUGUCACAACUGCAAGAUGCCAACCAAAGACAUUUCUCAUCAGACGGUAAAAUACUGGAAUCUAAGAUCCGUGACCUUCAGGUUCUUCAGCAGAUCCUGAACUGUAAUCAGUGUUUACAGCAAACACUUUCACUGAAUUACAGAUUAUUUAAAUAGUUUGUAAUAUUAGUAGAUAUCUUUGGCAAAAUUUACAACUUACUGAAACUUGAACUUUACUUUCCCAUAACUUCCAGGUAACACCUCAAUCUACAGGUUAUAAAUCAUGAAACCAGAACUUUACAAAUGACUUGAGAUUUACAGAUUACUUUCCCAGAAUUCCCAGUUUCUUGAAACCUGGAUGUUAUGUUUCCAUCAUUUCCAGGUGUUAUGACCACAGUAUUUAAGUUACGUUCCAGUUUUCUCCAAUAUGUUUUCUGAACCUACAGAUUACUCACCAGAAGUUUACGAGUUACAUUCCAUGGAGUUUAAUUACUGGAUGUUGAGCGUUUCUUUGUCAUGACUUCAUUUUACACCUGACAUUCCUGAGAACCGUCCCAGAUUAAGUUUUCUGAUUCCUUCACUGGAACGUCUGUGAUUUUCUCCACAUCUUUCCUGAAACUGUGAGACUUGAUUCCAGAUGUUUACAGAACUUACCAGAACUUUGUGAAUUAGAGAUGCAUGUCUUUAUACUUUUGAUACUUCUGUUUUGCAUUCCUGGAGUUUAAAUAUCUGAACUAAUAAAUUGCAUUUCUGGAACCAACACAGUGCUGCCUUUUGGAAACUUUUAGAAACUUUUGGUUAUUUCUGAGGAAUUCUUCCAUUGGCAGAACAACAGUUCAUGUUUUGAGCUAAAGC
This is a long non-coding RNA of Gambusia affinis (western mosquitofish), 2264 nucleotides long. RefSeq lists it as uncharacterized. The transcript has 7 exons. The record is from RefSeq and is a predicted model, not a curated record. NCBI's taxonomy places the organism in Eukaryota, Metazoa, Chordata, Actinopteri, Cyprinodontiformes, Poeciliidae.